GUGCUCGCUUCCACAGCAUAUAUACUGAAAUUGGAACGAUACAGAGAAGAUUAGCAUGGCCCCUGCACAAGGAUGACACACAAAUUCACAAAGCGUUCCAUAUUUUC
Molecule: small nuclear RNA, 107 nt
Organism: Pteropus vampyrus (large flying fox)
Lineage: Eukaryota; Metazoa; Chordata; Mammalia; Chiroptera; Pteropodidae
Source: Ensembl